CAAUAGCGUAUAUUAACGUUGUUGCAGUUAAAAAGCUCGUAGUUGAAUUUCUGGCGGGCGCGCCGGUCUUCCAAGUGUUGUACUGGGCGCAGUCCGCCAUCCUUGUGGAGAGGGCUCGCAUUGAGUUGCGUGUCGGAUCUGCAUCAUUUACUGUGAAAAAAUUAGAGUGUUUAAAGCAGGCUGUCGCUUGGAUACAUUAGCAUGGAAUAAUAAGAUAGGACUUCGGUCUAUUUUGUUGGUUGCGAACCAAGGUAAUGAUUAAUAGGGAUAGUUGGGGGUAUUCAUAUUUAAUUGUCAGAGGUGAAAUUCUUGGAUUUAUGAAAGAUGAACAACUGCGAAAGCAUUUACCAAGGAUGUUUUCAUUAA
RNAcentral lists this ribosomal RNA (366 nucleotides) under uncultured eukaryote. Its description in RNAcentral is "partial 18S ribosomal RNA". It matches the Rfam family "Eukaryotic small subunit ribosomal RNA", at positions 592 to 976 of the family's 1831-position model. The record is from RNAcentral.